RNAcentral lists this long non-coding RNA (6179 nucleotides) under Sus scrofa (pig). RNAcentral's name for it is "lncRNA (ENSSSCG00055008049.1)". The record is from RNAcentral. Lineage: Eukaryota; Metazoa; Chordata; Mammalia; Artiodactyla; Suidae.
GCUCAUCUUAUGAUUCUAAGCCAAGUAUUUAUUUUUCUUUGCUUUCAUUGCUCCAUCAGCAAAAGGUAAAAUUUUUUCUGUGUAACCACAAGGUUGAUUGCAAAGAAUAGUAAAAGUUGCAUACAGUUUGUGAGCUUAAGGUUAUAUAUAAAACCUGAAUAUCACCAUCCCAACUCCUGCAGGGGGGUUAGAGCUUUCAGAUCCUUCUCCCAUGAGACCCAACAAUGAAUAUAUUUCCCAGCACCAUUUUCAAGACCAAAUGACAUUGAACUUAAAUUCUCAUACAAGGGUUUAUUAAAUUGCUAUCUACUUCCAGCAGCUAUCCAAGUCUUCAUUACAUUACAGCAAUAGUUUGGAGAUAUUUAGAGCAAACUUUUGGCUUUCUUGUCAUCUAACUUGAGAUAGUAACUGUUCUUCAAUUUCAUUGGUAUCAAUGUUGAGUUCAAGACAUUUUGGCACCAUAAUUGGGCAACUUCCUUCAUCUCACAGAAAUGGCACAGUUGCAUACAGGAUAAACCAUCACCCUUAAGUACAGAGGUAUUAAUAUAUUUAUUACAUGUUCAUUGAUCUCCUCCUUAGUGAGGUAUCAAGGCUUUUGGCUCUUACUAGAUUCCACCCAUUCAUUUGUUCAUUUCAUUAAAUUCUGAAAUCAGGAGUAAACAAAAGAGAUAAAAUUCUUAAUUUCAUGGAGCUGAUCCAAUGCAUGUAUUAUAGCUUUCUUCAACAGUCUUUACAUAUUCCUUGGGCAUGUCUAUGGGCACUAGAUUCUGGGAAUUUAAUGACAAAACUCAGCUUGAAUUUUUAGAUUAAUUAUCACACAAAUAUUUUUAUUUUGUUACUCGUUGGGUUUUAUUAGUCUAGAUGUGUUUUUCCUUGGAUAAUCUUGAUUCACCUGCAUUUUCCCCUUUGCCUUUUGUUUUCUUCAAUAGCCUAAGCACACCCCCUGGCCAAGUACUCCCCACUCCACCUCCCACUAUGCUUUAAUAUUUUUAAGGGCCCUGUCAGGCUUCAUUUUAUAGAUGAGGAAAUUAGACUCAAGGAAGUUAAAUAAUUUCCUCAAGGCCACACAGCUAGUCAGUGGUAGAUUUGGGAUUUCGAUUCAUAUAUAUCUGACUCCAAAAAACUUUAUUACCAACCACAAUUUUUAUUCUUGUUCUCUUUAAAAAAUGUCUUCCAUGCAUUUACCACUAAUAUUUAAUCACAUGGGAUUAUAACUUCUCUGAGAUAGUCUGUGACUCCUGGUAUGGUUCAAUCUAGACUCUGAUCUGUAAAUAUGUGAAUGGUAAAAGCAUAUAUUAUUUCUGGUACUGUUUUCAGCUUACAGUGGUUCUUAUCCAUUGCAAAUUGUAGUAUUUUUAAGACCAUUCAGUACCCAGAGGAAAAUCAUUCAUUUUCUUUGGAAAAUUCUUUGGUCUUCUGUUCAGUCCUUCCUACACUAUACCAAUCCCCAGAUCACCCAGCAGAAGCCUUUUUCUAUAGAUAACCCUAACAUUUUUGAAUGACUGUAUGUAAUGAUGAUUCACUAAAGUGACUGAGGAAUUCCUUUUUUUUUGUAUAUGUGAGCUAUCCAAGCUGCCAGUGUUUCAGCUCCCUUUAUGUAAACCUCCUCACCCAAAACAGAUGAACAAAAGAAUUACCUUUUCUGAUAACUGUUCUGAACUUACAUAUUUUUCUAAUAUAACCUGAAUUGAGGGUAGAGGCAUUUAAAAGGGGCCCUGUGUAAACAGAAUGGGUUCUCUUUUGUACAUGGGGUCAAAACACACAAGGACAUAGCAUGGUUAGGAGCAUAGUUAGAAUCUGUUUUACUUUAGCAAAGCUAAUAUUUUGGGGCCUGAGUUUCUGAAUUUAUAAAAUUAGGUGUAUUAUACUAGACAGUUACAAUAUGUCAGCAUUGUGAAGGAGAUUCUUCUUCUUCUUCUUCUUUUUUUUUCCUUUUUAGGGCUCCACUUGAAGCAUAUGGAAUUUCCCAGGCUAGGGGUCAAAUUGGAGCUGCAGCUGCCAGUCUACAGCAAUGCGGAAUCCAAGCCGCAUCAUGAAGGAGAGUCUUAGGAACACAGAUUCCCAGUCUCCACUUAGGGCUAGAAGAUCUGAGAUUGGAUUGAGAAUCUCUGUAUUUUAACUAGUUGCCCAGGUGAUUCUAUUCUGGAGACUGUCUUUGAAAAAAGAUUGUGUGGGAACCCUAUAAUAUUCUAUGCUUCAAUGCUUCAGUGGACUUUUUGGGGUUUGUUUUGUUUGGCUGUGAAACCAAUGUGAAAUUUCCUGGGCCAGGGAUUGAACCUGCACCACUGUAGCGACCUGACCUGCUGCAGUGAUAACACCAGAUGCUUAAUCUGAUGUGCCAAAAAACUCCUUCUGUGGUCUUUUUGUGUGACUUCAUUAAACCUAUUAUUUUCCACUUAGGAACAAUCCCUGUUGCAAGUAGGAGAGAGCUAAUAUUCCAGCUGUAAGCCUCUCAUUCAAGGUUCUUGCUGCAGCCAGCAGUGUCCUUGGAAUCUAGUUCAAAGCUGGAGAAAGUGAACCAUGGAGCUGGGAGCCAUUGGUGGAGGGGCUGGCCUGAAGGAAGUGAAGUGUUACAGCCAGAAUGUACUGACGCAUGACCAGGAAACCACAGACUGGUGAAAACCUUUCCAAGCCUGAGCUCUAUGAUCAAAUGAGGUACAGGAAGUAGCUCUGCCAAGAAACCUCUCCACUGCUGCCUGGAACCCUGAGCUUCUAUGCUUCCCUGAGUCAACUCUCCAAGCAGAUGCUGUCGUCUAUGGAGCCAUUACUAAAGCAUGUCCUUGCUUUGCUCUCGGGUGACUCCACUGGUGGGUAAGAGUGAGUCCCUUGCUUUUUUUUCUCUUUCUCACUUCUUUUUGGCAGAGUUUGCUGUCUGAUUGCUCCACUCUGAUUUUUCCAGAAAUCAUAGAUGACUGGAUCUUUAUCCUUUGCCAACUGGCCAUUGUUUGAUGCUCAGGACCUAUAUACAAAAACUAAAUCCUCAAACUCUUAGCAAUCCCUAGAUCACCUGAUCAGCAAGUAUCAAUAGCCUGGACUUAAAUGGGAGUGAAUGUCCCUUAUUUAUCACAUCAUAAAAUCUUUAUCCCUUCUCCCAGACUAGUCUCCCUGUUGUUAAUUUUAAGAAUAGAUUCAAACAGAAAUUACAUUCAGAGCCCUGUCCCAGCUACACAUUGUGUCUGGAUACAAGGUCAAAAUAAUUGUGUUCCUGUGAAUUCUCUCUUUGCUUGGCCACAGUAACUGCCAGUUGCCAUGCAAUAAAUCACAUCAUCAUAUAACAGAUCCAGUUAAUAGCUGAGAAUAGUAGGAUAACUGAAUUAUGUCUUGAGGGCUAAAUGAUGGAGAAAUUGGACUGACCAUGGAGCACUUCAAAUUGAUGGCUUAGUAAUGGUGUAUUUUUCCUGGAAAGAACCGGAUAAUUCUGAACUAUUGAUUUUGUCAAGGGUACAAGCUCCCAUGUAGAAGAAAAUAAAGCAAGUGUGAUGAACUUUUCAUUUGGCUUUCAGCCUGGCUUUCUUGCUUUUUGCCUUGCAUUUCAUGCCUAUAUUUUUAUUCUUUAAACCCUGACUAGAUGAUCCAGCAAUAUUGGCCAUGUGGCAUAAAAUCCACAAUCUUAAUCUUCUUAUUACCAAAAUCUCAGCAAAUAUGAGGUGGCCAACAGCUCUUAUGAGACAAUGCCCUAAAUCUUACCUUAGGUUUCAAUCAGUUUAGGAAACAUGAAAAAUUUGGUAAGGAGACAGCAAUACACUCUCUGUAAAGAUUUCAGAGGUCAGGAUUCAGAAGACUAUACAUACAAACUGAAUACUGACAAUCAAGUGUUUUCUGAAUUAUUCAUCCUCUGGGACUGUUAUGUAAAGUAGAGACUUUGCAAACACAUUGUGCUGCAGUGCAUUUUGAGACAUGCCAUUUUUGGAAAGUGCUAACUUUGUACACUGCUGACACUAAACAUUUGAAAAUAAAACCUUUUUUUCUCUCUUUCUCUCUCUCCUCUACUUUUGGCUCAGUUUAUCCUAUCAAAACAUACUUCAAAAGACUUUUUAUAGAAAGAAUGUUUCAAAAAUAUAAUAUUUCCAACUGUUAUUUUAAUAAUACAUGCUCUGGGACUCUCUUUAUGAACCAUUUUCCUUUCUUUGCUCCCAUUUAGAUGUAUAAAUAUUUCAUUCGAAAGCCCUAAGGAAUAGUCAGCCAAUCAGGUUGCUGAACUGUGAACAUUCCUAACCCUAUAAUUUUGUCUGUAGCAGGCACCUCCUGCUGUGGAACUAACUGCUAAGGGAUAUAGCAAUGUAAUCCUCAGACUGCUCCAUCUCAAGCUUGCUCUGAAGUGGAGAGAGGGAAGUAGUUUUAAUUUUGAUAAAAUAAACUUUAUUUUGUAACUUUAUUAUUUGUUUUUCUUUCUCCUUUCAACACUUCAUAAUAGACGUGUCUGGUAACUUGAAGUCAGUCUCCCCUGCUAAAGUGCCCUAGGCCACCCCAUAUUCUUAUAGCUUUUAAAAAGGUAGCCACACAAUGUUUGGUCCUGUCAUUCCACAAUUCAGAACCCAAGUCUCUUCUACCUUCUGUGAACCAAACCAAGCCAUAUCUGACUCUUACUAAACAUAUUCAAAUGGUGAUUUCCCAAUGGGUGGCAAUAGGAGAAGCAUGAGCACUCUCAUGUCACCUAGAUGACAUGGAGUUCUUAAAACCAUGUGCAAAAUUUUAAGUACCUUUCUAGUUGUUAGACUUUGCAUACCAGACCUCUACUUCAGCAAUUAUUGGAGCAUUUAAUGUUACAACAUGAAUUUCAUGGGAACUCCCGCUUUGAUAUAAACUCAAACAUGUUGCUAGGAAUAAAAAAUCUUUAUGGAUAAAAUUUAAUAUAUUUUGAAUCAAGCUCAAAGAGAUCUUUUGUUGUGUGUGAAAAAUAAAAUAAAAAUUCCCUUUAUAAAAUUUUAUGGCUAGAUGGAUAGGGAAAAAUAUUUUCCAGGAUAAAAAUAUUUUCUCAUUUCUUCUUAAAUUAGGAAAGUACAAAGUUAUAUGUAUGCACAUAAAAUUAAGGCUAAUUAUUAGCAUGCAAAUAGCCAAAGUUUUCAGGAGACAAUAGGACAAAAAUGUGGCAGAACUUUUAAAAUAUUUAUAAUUGACCAAGGAAUUAUGCCAUUAUAAGCCUAUUCAGGAAAAAAAUCAGGUAUAUAUCCAAAAAUGUUGAUCACUGCAUUAUUUCAAAGAGUGAAAAGUGUAAGUAGUUUAAAUUUAAAAGAAAAAAAUCCAUUUAGCAAUCUGAAAAAGAAAUCUCAUAUAUUUAGUUUCACUUUAAAAAGAUCAUUUCUAAGUAUUAAUUUGAGUAUUGUCAUCCUUUAAGUUAGUGAGCUUAAAACUAUAUUAAAAAGUGCUUACUGCAAUUAGAUAUAAUAGACUUUAGGGUGACAAUAUAUACAGCAGUUGUUAACUUUCACUUCUAGUAAUGAAAUACAGCUUAUAUGUGACCAACAUUCCAACAGUAGCAACUUGAAAAGCUGGUUAAAUUGGAAAAAAAACCUUUUUUUGGCCACACCAGCAGCAUAUGGAAGUUCCCGGGCCAGGGAUGGAAUAUGAGCCGCAACUGUGACCUAGGCCCCAGCUGCAUCAAUGCCAGAUCCUUAACCCACUUUGUUGGGCCAGGGAUCAACCCCAUGCCUCAGCAGCAGCCUAAGAUGCUGCAUAGACAGUGUUGGAUUCUUAACCCCUUAUGCCACAGUGGCAACUCCUAAAAUUUUUUAUGGCACUGGAAAGCUAUAAAGCAACAAAUAAUUGAGGGUUCAAGAACUUCAAAAUAAAAGAAAACUAGAGAAAUGAGCCUAAUAUUUGGUGUUGGUUUUCCCAUCAAGUUAUCUCCCAAUUUAAAAGCAGCCAAGAAAAUAAUAAACUGAGGGAAGCUUUCAGCAGUUUUAUGGAAUUGAAGGAACAAAAAUUAGAUUUGGAGACUGUGAAGGUGUUCAGUAUUUGGUAAAUAAAAAGCUUCCAUUUGGGACCCCUCAAGGUCCGCAAACUAAGAGUAAGAAUGAACAAAAUCAACCCUAACAGAGACUGAAACAAACUCUAGAGUCAGUUUAAUCCCAGGUUAAUAUAAAGUGAUCUGUGUAGGCCAAUGGCCAACCAAAAGCAAAGUAAAUGCUCUGUGCAGGGGGAUAACACUAUCAAAACCUCCAACUACCUUUAAAAUGUCC